Non-coding RNA from Myotis davidii, 122 nucleotides. NCBI's taxonomy places the organism in Eukaryota, Metazoa, Chordata, Mammalia, Chiroptera, Vespertilionidae. The record is from Rfam.
UUUCGGUGGUCUUCCUCCCAGGUCUCCUCCCAGGGAAGGGGGCACAGAGCCGCGGGACUUAGUUAUGCGCGGCUGCGCCGGCGGCCGGGCUAAUGACUGCCGGCUGCGGUUGUGGUUUUCAC